GACGAACGCUGGCGGCGUGCUUAACACAUGCAAGUCGAACGAGGUCCACCGCGUAGCAAUACAAGGGAAGACCUAGUGGCGAACGGGUGCGUAACACGUGAGGAACUUGUCCCGGUCUCUGGGAUAACAGUUGGAAACGACUGCUAAUACCGGAUGACGUCGGAGCAUCGCAUGGUGCGCUGACGAAAGGGUUACUGGAUCGGGAGAGCCUCGCGGCCUAUCAGCUUGUUGGUGGGGUAACGGCCUACCAAGGCAUCGACGGGUAGCUGGUCUGAGAGGAUGAUCAGCCACACUGGGACUGAGACACGGCCCAGACUCCUACGGGAGGCAGCAGUGGGGAAUCUUGCGCAAUGGGCGAAAGCCUGACGCAGCAACGCCGCGUGCGGGAAGAAGGCCCUCGGGUUGUAAACCGCUUUCAGCAGGAACGAAAAUGACGGUACUUGCAGAAGAAGGUGCGGCCAACUACGUGCCAGCAGCCGCGGUAAU
This 486-nucleotide ribosomal RNA is filed under the name uncultured bacterium. RNAcentral's name for it is "bacterial SSU rRNA". It matches the Rfam family "Bacterial small subunit ribosomal RNA", at positions 28 to 524 of the family's 1533-position model. The record is from RNAcentral.